Molecule: ribosomal RNA, 327 nt
Filed under: uncultured eukaryote
Lineage: Eukaryota
Description: partial 18S ribosomal RNA
Rfam family: Eukaryotic small subunit ribosomal RNA
Source: RNAcentral
CCCUUAGAUGUUCUGGGCCGCACACGCGCUACACUGAAGGAGGCAGCGUGUACUCCUGGAUCGAAAGAUUUGGGUAACCCCCUAAUCUCUUUCGUGCUGGGGAUUGAGGUUUGCAAUUAUCCUUCAUGAACGAGGAAUUCCCAGUAAGUGCGAGUCAUUAUCUCGCGCUGACUACGUCCCUGCCCUUUGUACACACCGCCCGUCGCUACUACCGAUUGAAUGAUUUAGUGAGGACUUCGGACUGAGUCCAAUGCGGCUUUCGGGCUGCGUUGGUAUUUCGGAAAGAUGUCCAAACUGUAUCAUUUAGAGGAAGUAAAANUCGUANCA